Molecule: ribosomal RNA, 253 nt
Filed under: uncultured bacterium
Lineage: Bacteria
Description: partial 16S ribosomal RNA
Rfam family: Bacterial small subunit ribosomal RNA
Source: RNAcentral
UACGGAGGGUGCGAGCGUUAAUCGGAAUUACUGGGCGUAAAGCGCACGCAGGCGGUUUGUUAAGCUAGAUGUGAAAGCCCCGGGCUCAACCUGGGAUGGUCAUUUAGAAUUGGCAGACUAGAGUCUUGGAGAGGGGAGUGGAAUUCCAGGUGUAGCGGUGAAAUGCGUAGAUAUCAGGAGGAACAUCAGUGGCGAAGGCGACUCCCUGGCCAAAGACUGACGCUCAUGUGCGAAAGUGUGGGUAGCGAACAGG